CGGGGCCCGAACUCACAAACCAUGAGAUCAUGACCUGAGCCGAAGUCGGACGCUCAACCGACUGAGCCACCCAGUCGCCCCUCAUGUAGCACAUUUCUAAAUGAUACGUCUGAGUUAUUUCAAUAUCUCGAAAACAUUAACGACGAUGAUCAUGAAAAUGGCGGUUACCAUUUGUUGAGCCUUUGGAACGUACCAGAUUCUGGAUCAAACUUUAUGAAACUCUUGUGAGGUGUGUAUUCUUAUCUCUCUUUUGCAGAAAAACAAAAAUAACCAAGGUCCAGUCAGUCUAAAUGGCUUGCUUGAAGUCACAGAACUAGGGAGGGACAAAUCCUCAUCUCUCUGACCCAGGCCUGAGCUCAUACCCAGCAUGCCACAUCAUUUCCACUGACCAAGGCGCUGGACAUACAGCAGAGAGCUGUGAAGUAGGAGCUCUGCUUGUUCUUUAUGACAGUUUGAUUCAUUUUAUAGUCACUAACUUGACCUUGUUAUGCAAAGGGUAUUUUAAGAGAAAGUAAGCUACAAAAUAACCACAGGUUUCCGCUUACUUAUAAUUUGGUUUAAGUAUUUGAUCCUGUGCUCUUUUUGCUACUUAUCUUUUCCUUCCUUCCUUCCUUCCUUCCUUCCUUCCUUCCUUCCUUCCUUCCCUCCCUCCCUCCCUUUCUUUUUCUUUCUUUCUUUCUUUCUUUCUUUCUUUCUUUCUUUCUUUCUUUCUUUCUUAAUUUCUGUAAUGGCUUUGGGCUUCAACUCAAUACAAGAAGGAUUUAUUAAAUUGCUCUCUAUUUCCAACACUUAUCCUCCAAGUGUCCAUUAUAUUGUAGCAAUAUUUUAGAAGUGUUUAAGGCAAACUUCUAGCUAUCUUAACAUGUCAUCUAAUUUGAGAUAAUAGUAAUACUUUAUUUAUUGAGCAAUUUGUUACUAAUUCAGAACUUCUCUGGGAUGCCUGGGUGGCUCAGUCAAUUGAGUGUCGACUCAUGAUUUUGGCUCAGAUCAUGAUCCCAGGGUUGUGGGAUCAAACCCUGUGAUAAAUAUUCACUACAGAUUCAUCAGCCUCUUCUCUUGUUGAGGUGUCCAGGCUUUUGGCCCUUAUUAGAUCCUACCAAUCCAUUCAUUCAUUCUACAACUAAACACUGGGCACAGAAGUGAACAAAACAGCUAAAAUCCUCAAUUUCAUGGAGUUUAUCCAUUGCAUACAUUCAAGCCAUGCUCAACAAUCUUUACAUACUCCUGGGGUUGGGUAGAGUUUUUCCUCUGGCCACAGAACUUGAGAUUUGGUAAAAACACUCAGCCGGAGACUUUAGGUUAACUAUCCUACAAAUAUUUUUAGUUUGUUACUCUUUUGGUCUUAUUAGUCUAGAUGUAUUUCCCCUUGGAUAAUCUUCGUUCAUAUACAUUUUUUUUUUGCUUUUCCUUUUAUUUUCUUGAAUAACUUCAGCACCCCAUCACUGAUUCCUUCCCCAUCCCAUGCUUUAAUAUUCUUAAGAGCCCUGUCAGGCUUCAUCUUAUAGAUAACAAAAUUAAGCCUCAAAAAAAAUUAAAUAACUUCCUCAAGUCCACACAGGUAGUCAGUGGUAGAUCUGGGAUUUUGAUUCAGAUAUACUGAUUCCAAAAGUUGUAUUACGCAACACAAUUUUAUUCUUGCACUCUAUAAAACAUCAUCCAUGCAUUUACAAUUAAGUAUUUAAUCACAUGGAACUAUGACUUCUCUGAGAUAGUCCUGGACUCUCGGCACAAUCUAAGCUCUAGUGGGUAACAUGUGAAUGAUAAAAACCUAUGUUGUUCCUGGUACUAUUUUCAGCUUAUGAUGCUUCUGAUCCAUUGCAAAAUUUAAUGUUUCUGAUACCAUUCAGUUCCAGAGGGAAAUAAACCAUUUUCAUUAGGAAAUUCUUUGGUCUUCCUUUCAACUCUUCCUACUCUGCACCACUCCCCCAAAUCAGGCAGCAGAAACUUUGUUCUGUAUAUAUCCCUGAAACUUCUGAAUGAAAUUUUGCAAUUUUUGAACAAAAGCACUACCUCUUUUGAUAGUUGUUUAGAACUUACAUAUUUUUCCAGUACUACCUGAAUUGAGGGUAGUGCGAUUUGAAAGGGGCCCUGUGGAAGCAGAAUGAGUGCUCUUUGGAGAAAUACUCAGGGCCACAAAGCACAUGGAAACAGUCCAUGGCUAGGAGCCUGACACCCAAGCCCAAAACAGAACCACAAAAACAAAGAGUGGGGAACAGUAUGGUACAGUGGAAAGAGCAGUACGUGAGAAUCAAGUUACCUGUUUUACCUUAGCAAAGUGACCCCGUUUUUCUGGGCCUGAAGUUUCCUAAUUUAUGAAAUUCGGCAUAUUACACUAGAUAGUGACGAAACUUCAGAAUUACAAGGAGCUUCUUAAAAAACAGAUUACCCGUCCCCACCCAGAGAUUCUGGUUUAGAAGGCCUGAGAUUAGAUUGGAAAUCUCUGUAUUUUAACCAGUUGCCCAAGUAAUUCUAUUGCAGACUUCUGCAGACAGAAAAGAGAUUGCAUGGGAACCACACAUGAUAUUCUGUGCCUCACUGCUUCAGUGGACUUUUGGUGUGAUUCCAUUGGAUCUAUUUUUUCCCCCUUGCUACUUCCUCGUCACAAGAAGAGCAGUGCUGGUAUCCCAGCUGCAAGCCUCUCGUUUAGGAUUCUUGCUGCAGCCAGCAGUGUCCUUGGAGUCUAGUUCAAAGCUGGAGAGAAUGCGCUAUGGAGCCGGGAGCCAUUGGUAGAGGGGCUGGCCUGAAGGAAGUGAAGUGUUUCAGCCAGAAUGUACUGACGCACGACCAGGAAACCACAAGACUGGUGAAAACCUCUCCAAGCUUGAGCCCUGUGAUCAAAAGAGAGUAACUGCCAGUUGCCAUGUAAUAAAUCACAUCAUCAUAUAGCAGAUCCAAUUAAUAGCUGAGACCUGCAAAAUAACUGAACCAUGUCGUCAGAGCUAAAUGGCGGAGAAAUUGGACUGACCAUGAACACAUCACAUUGAUUGCUUAGUAGUGGGGUAUUUUUCCUGGAAAGACAACAGAAUAAAUCUGAACUAUUGAUCCUGUCAUGGGUACAGGCUCCCUUGUAGAGGAAAAUAAAGCAAGUGUGAUGAAUUUUUCA
Felis catus (domestic cat) is the source of this 3103-nucleotide long non-coding RNA. RefSeq lists it as uncharacterized. The record is from RefSeq and is a predicted model, not a curated record. NCBI's taxonomy places the organism in Eukaryota, Metazoa, Chordata, Mammalia, Carnivora, Felidae. The transcript is spliced from 2 exons.